Molecule: long non-coding RNA, 3601 nt
Organism: Rhincodon typus (whale shark)
Lineage: Eukaryota; Metazoa; Chordata; Chondrichthyes; Orectolobiformes; Rhincodontidae
Exons: 3
Source: RefSeq, a predicted model, not a curated record
AUUUAUCUCUGCUUCCAGGAACCACUGAGCCCUGGUGUGCACGAUAAACAUGUUAUAAUUUUGACUUUUGACAGCGCGUAUUGGGUGGGAACCAGUUGAGUUUUCAGGGCUGAGAAAAUAAUGACAGUAUCUGCUAACGGCAAUCAGCUCGCCGGCCACCAAGAAUUGUUGUAACAUCCAGAUACGAGCAACCAUACACGCAAAAAGAUCGUCGUAGGAAUUACUGAAUGAAACGACGCAUCGGAUAUAGGGAGAAUUCUGACAUUAGUGUUACAGCCAGAAAGGAGAAACAGACAUUGUUCCAGCGGUUUAUUGUUACAGGCAGCGGAUUCUGAAGACACGGCACUGACUCCAAGUUCAUCAGAACGAAAAUGUGGCAGGAAGUUACCCUAAUUGUCGCAGUUUUUGUGACUGUAAGCUCCAGUGAUAAUCCAGGUGUUGUCGUCGUUGGGAAUGUCUUCUCUGAGCGUUUGAAUGGAUAAAGCAUCUAUUGCCGAACGCGUUCUCACAUUGUCAAGUUCCUGCAUACUUCAUUUAAGUACCUUCUGAAUGUAAAAUGACUAGCUGCCAACCAGAUGCUGCCAGACCUGCUGAGUGUUUUCCAGGAAUUUCUGAUUUUGUUGGUGAUUUCUAGUAUUUACCACCAGGGGAGGUGAUGGCCAAGUGGUAUUAUCGCUGGAUUGUUAAUCCAGAUAACGUUCAGGGGACUUGGGUUUGAAUCAGGCUGGAAUUUGAAUUCAAUAAAUAUCUGGGAUUAACAAUCUAAUGAUGACUAUAAAUCCAUUGUCGAUUGUCAGGAAAAUCUCAUCUGGUUCACUAAUGUCCUUUAGGAAAGGAAACUGCCAUCCUUACCUGGUCUGGCCUACAUGUGACUCCAGACCCACAGCAAUAUGGUUGACUCUGAACUGUCUCUGGGCAAUAAAUGCUGUCUAGCCAGCAAUACCCUCAUCCUGUUAAUGAAUAAAAAAAAAAAUCUGCAGUUUGUUUUUAAUCUGUGUACACCUGUUUUUCUUAUUGAAGUUGAAGCAUCUGAGGACUUGUUACUGUAUGGGGAAGCAAAUAAAAACAAAAUACUAUGGAUGCUGGAAAUCUGAAAUAAAAAUAGAAAAUACUGGAGAAAUGCAACAUGUGCAGCAGCAACUCUUGAGACAGAAACAGAGUUAAUAUUUUGAGUGUCUUUGAAUCAACAGGAUCUGCCGAGUUUCUCCAGCAUUUUCUACUUUUAUUUUAUGAAAUAAUUGCAAUUUGUUACAAUAUACCUAAUAUCUUUUGUUAAAGAUUUUGGAACCUCAAUAAUUUAGAUUUGAUUUGAGCUGAAGACCAAGAAACUUGAUGUUGAAUAUUAUCCAAUGCUUACACUUCGCAGAUUAUCUUACAGUAUACAAUGUCUAAUACUGAAAUAUGAUAAACUACCAAGGUUGUUCUGACACAGUCAUAUCUUAUCUUUUAGAAUUAUGGUAUAUAUGUGUUCUUAAAAAUGAUAUGAACAUGCUUUCUAACUGAUACUAUUCUGUAUAUCAAAUGAUUAUAGCCGUUCUCACUGCUCUUGUGUAGCCUUGUUUAAUAACUGCAGUUUGCAGUUAUUGGCUUGAACCCUUGGCUAAUUAUUGCAUGGUAGAGGUGCAAGUAGGAGAAGAAAUUUUGUUUUAUGGCAUUCUAUGAAAGAAUUAUCCCAAGGAACACAGAGUGUAUCAGGAUAUGCAUUACUUUGGAAGCUUACAAACUUUGAAAUUUAAGCUCACAAAUUUAAGAAAACUCACUUUAUAUUUAAUUUAAAUGUUUCCAAAAACCUUUUGGCAGAUUACUUUAAAAAGGCUGCUUGGAUUAUUGUGUUAGAGAAAGGUCUGUUGUAUUAUUAAACAGUAGAUGAAAAUGAGGGAUGCAGCAAUUAUGGUCUGUUUUAGACAUGAGAUUGGCAGUAGGUUUGAUAUAUACACAAAAAACUGGACACUGACAUCAGGACUUCUGGAAUUUCUCGCUGACUUGUUCAAAUGUCAGUUAACCAGAAUAGCCCUCACAGUAGAUGUUGUGGGAGGAGAACAAAAGAAAAGCUUCUGAGGGUUCAUGGGUGGAACAGGUGAUCCUUCAUUGGAAAUAGAAUCUCACAAUCGUAAAUGUAUUGCCUCUACAUCAUCACCUAUUUAACCAACUGUUAAAGUAACUACAGCUGUAAGAAUGGCUUGUUGCACCCAAUUGCACACCACGCUGUCAUGCUGAAUGUGAUGUUUUGCUUGCUCAAUGCCUUCAUCAUCAUCCCUAAGAAGACUGCUUUUGCUUUCCCAGCUCUUCAGGAUUGAUCAUAUGCCCUCUUUGCUUGUUCCAGCUGGGCAGAGCACAUUGCACAAAAUGCUGUGGCACAGUGGAAUAUACUGUGAAGCCCUUCCUCCCCCGCCUCUCAAAAAUGGCUGCUGCAUGUAUUGGCCAUUCAUCUUCAACAGGCCAAUUGUCUGCUCCAUGAUGAUUUUGGUGGAAGAAUGGUCUACAUUUUAUCUACCCUUACCAAAAGUGCCUCACCAGGUACUUGCAUUCCCUUGGCUUCAGUCGGUUGUAUAACCAUGGUUGUAGAGGUUAGAACUUGCUGCCAAGCAGCCAUCUUUGUCAGGUGUAUGACUGUUGUAAUGAAGUAGAACCCAAGAUAGUAUAGCCGUCUUAGCAUCUUCCAGGCGACCGAGGACAGACCUGUAAGAUGUGGCAGCAGUGAUCACGAAUGACUCGUACAUUUACCGAAUGGAUGCAUUUCUGUUGAUAAAUCUGCUCCGUAUGAUAAUCUCAAUGCCAUGCAUGUAGUUUAUAGCACCCGUACGUGGGGGAAAUCCAAUUAUGAUGGUAAAGACUUUGGCUGUAGAUUUCUCCAGUGUGUAGGAUUAAUUUGUUUCAAUAUUGAUUGCUUACGGGCAUGAUUAUUGUUCUCUUUGCAUGUCAUUUUAUCAGUCUUUGCAGCUUCUAACGAUAUUUUCCAUCUGUGGGCUCAUUAGUAAUUACACAAUGUUCCUAAGUUAAGCUAAGAUUUCAUUUUUGUUUAGUCAAAGGUAGCAAUUCACCAGUACUUGAAGUUGAUAUAUGCCCGUUCCAUCAAUGGUAAAGUUAUUGCAAAUUUUUUAUGUAGCAUUCCUGCUUAGUGCCAUUUUGAGCCAGGAUUUCUUGUGCCAUGUGCCCACCUUAAUGUUGAUACUCUUAAUCUAAGAAAAUAAGCCAGGAGUCACUGCAAACUGGCAUUAAAGGCAUAUUUUGGCCUGCUGCGUUGCUGGGUAGUGUAGGGACAUGAUAUCUAACUAACAAUUCUGAAUUAGACACAGAGAUAAUAACAACGAUCGCACUCAAAUAUCCCAGAGAUUUAAUAGAUCCAGGAACAGCAUGGUACAAGUAUCAAAUCCAAGUCUGGGUGGUGAGAAAGGUUGUGGUUUGGAAAAUCAAAGGGAUUGGGUAAAUUGAAUUGUCUUAUUGUAAGGUGUUUAUUAUUUAUUUUUAAUUGCUGCAACCAAGCAGUGAAAAUUGUUUCGGAAAAAGUUUUGUAGGGACGCAUACAGCAGUGCCAUCAUGUGGUUAGUGCCUGUAAUUAGGCAGUGACUAGGAACAUAAUGAAGGCAUAGAAAUUUGUCAU